UGAAUCAUUUGACACUUGAC
This 20-nucleotide non-coding RNA is filed under the name Arabidopsis thaliana (thale cress). The record is from RNAcentral. Lineage: Eukaryota; Viridiplantae; Streptophyta; Magnoliopsida; Brassicales; Brassicaceae.